CUAGGAUCUAUAUUACUCCUGAGCAGAGCACUAGCACAUGGCAAAACAGGAAUCACCUUCCUUCCUUCCCUACCUUCUCUAGUGUAUUAUUCAUAACUUAAAGUCCUUUUAUUCAACUUAAGCUCUACAGUUAAGGGAGCAGGAGAAAAAGCAGAGGAAAUGAAGUUAUUCAGAUCGCCAAGCACUAUGGAAGUAUAUAUUUGGUAAUAAUUUUCAAUGAUUUUCCAUCACACAGAGAUGGUGAUCCCCAGCUGUCCUGAGGCUGAAGAAGUGAAGACCCUUAAGCCACAGCCUAAAAGGACUAAAAGCCUAAAAUUCUUUCAGAGAAGAGAAAACUCAAGCCCACAGUGGAAGGCUCUAUGUGGAAGGUGGUGGAUGGGAAACUGGAUUUUGCUCCAAAGUCUCUGCCUCUGAAAGUAGCUGGAUGCGGGACUAGUUUACCAGGAGAAGACGGGCUUUCCUUUUCAGAGUAACAAGAUUUUGCCAAAACUCCAAGGGAUGAGUUAUUUUCAUUUUUCCACUAACCACCAUAGAACACUUUAAAUUAUUUUCACAUGAUGAUGGUAAAGGAAAAGAUAGAACAUUUUUUUCUUUCUUUCUAUGAUUUUUCUCUUCAGGUAUGAAAAAUUGUUUAGAUUAUUCAAUCGUUUAGCAAAUAUAUCUUCAGCACAUGUCAGGUGCUGUGCUUGGGAGAAUAAUAUGGUGGAUUUUCCUAAAGAAAUGGGGGAUCCCUGGGUGGCUCGGCAGUUUGGUGCCAGCCUUCUACUCAGAGUGUGAUCCUGGGGUCCUGGGAUAGAGUCCCGCAUCGGACUCUCCACAGAGACAGAGUCUCCACAGAGACUCUCCCUCUGCCUCUGUCUCGGCCCCUCUCUCUGUGUCUCUCAUGAAUUAAAAAAAAAAAAAAAUCUUGAAAAAAGGGAAAUGUAUAGUUCAGUCCAAUGAUUCCCAAAAAAUGAUAUGUGGAGGGGUGCAUGCUUAUUUGAACAAGUCUUAAGCAGUCUGGGAAGACAAUGUUGCAAGUGUUUAUAAGGCCAACUUCUUGGGGCACCUGGCUGGUUCUGUCGGUAGAACAUGUGACUCGAUUCCGAGGUUGUAAGUUAGAUAGAGCCCCACGUUGGGUAUAGAGACUACUUAAAAAUAAAAUCUUAAAAAAAAACA
RNAcentral lists this long non-coding RNA (1158 nucleotides) under Vulpes vulpes (red fox). RNAcentral describes it as "lncRNA (ENSVVUG00000019094.1)". Lineage: Eukaryota; Metazoa; Chordata; Mammalia; Carnivora; Canidae. The record is from RNAcentral.